UCAACACAAUGCAGUUCCCACCAGGGGUCAGAACCACCCCAAAAUAUCUCUUCAAUAGUCACAUGUACCUAAAAUAAUAGAGAUUAAGACAUGUUAUCAGUAGGCACAAUCUUUCAAUUGAUUAGGUGUUUAACCCUAAAGAGCCCAAAGAACUCAAGUUAAAUAGUUAAAUUGCUCCAUAGCCCCUACCUGAGGAGAGGAACAACUUAUAACAGUUUGCCACGUGUCCAAAAAAAAUUAAUAUGUCCUCAUGGCACCAUUUUAUAAGGUUAGGUUAGUCCAACAAUUAAGAUAAGAUUUAUCAUUCCCACAAACACUCAAAAUUUCUCUUGUUUAAGGUUUUCCCUUAAUCACAUUAUCUUCUUCCGCCUUCAUCUAACUUGACCAUCAGAGUGUUGUCGCCAGCUACAAUUGGUGUUGCCUCUAACGACUACUUUAUUUAUAGGACCAUCCCAACUCUGUCCAUCCCAAAAAACUACUUUUGAGUGAUUAAUCACUGAACCACCUCUCAAAGUGAAGCUCUCAUGAUUUUUUUG
Molecule: long non-coding RNA, 536 nt
Filed under: Citrus sinensis (sweet orange)
Lineage: Eukaryota; Viridiplantae; Streptophyta; Magnoliopsida; Sapindales; Rutaceae
Description: long non-coding RNA (CSIN_LNC005093)
Source: RNAcentral